GUGCCCGUAGCUCAGUGGAUUAGAGCAUCAGCUUGCGGAGUUGAGGGUCGGAGGUUCGAAUCCUCCCGGGCACACCA
RNAcentral lists this transfer RNA (77 nucleotides) under bacterium. RNAcentral describes it as "tRNA-Arg". It matches the Rfam family "tRNA". Rfam says of the family: Transfer RNA (tRNA) molecules are approximately 80 nucleotides in length. The record is from RNAcentral.